RNAcentral lists this ribosomal RNA (1345 nucleotides) under uncultured bacterium. Its description in RNAcentral is "partial 16S ribosomal RNA". It matches the Rfam family "Bacterial small subunit ribosomal RNA", at positions 28 to 1381 of the family's 1533-position model. The record is from RNAcentral.
GACGAACGCUGGCGGCGUGCUUAACACAUGCAAGUCGAACGGAAAGGCCCUGCUUUUGUGGGGUGCUCGAGUGGCGAACGGGUGAGUAACACGUGAGUAACCUGCCCUUGACUUUGGGAUAACUUCAGGAAACUGGGGCUAAUACCGGAUAGGAGCUCCUGCUGCAUGGUGGGGGUUGGAAAGUUUCGGCGGUUGGGGAUGGACUCGCGGCUUAUCAGCUUGUUGGUGGGGUAGUGGCUUACCAAGGCUUUGACGGGUAGCCGGCCUGAGAGGGUGACCGGCCACAUUGGGACUGAGAUACGGCCCAGACUCCUACGGGAGGCAGCAGUGGGGAAUAUUGCACAAUGGGCGGAAGCUUGAUGCAGCAACGCCGCGUGCGGGAUGACGGCCUUCGGGUUGUAAACCGCUUUCGCCUGUGACGAAGCGUGAGUGACGGUAAUGGGUAAAGAAGCACCGGCUAACUACGUGCCAGCAGCCGCGGUGAUACGUANGGUGCGAGCGUUGUCCGGAUUUAUUGGGCGUAAAGGGCUCGUAGGUGGUUGAUCGCGUCGGAAGUGAAUCUUGGGGCUUAACCCUGAGCGUGCUUUCGAUACGGGUUGACUUGAGGAAGGUAGGGGAGAAUGGAAUUCCUGGUGGAGCGGUGGAAUGCGCAGAUAUCAGGAGGAACACCAGUGGCGAAGGCGGUUCUCUGGGCCUUUCCUGACGCUGAGGAGCGAAAGCGUGGGGAGCGAACAGGCUUAGAUACCCUGGUAGUCCACGCUGUAAACGGUGGGUACUAGGUGUGGGGUCCAUUCCACGGGUUCCGCGCCGUAGCUAACGCUUUAAGUACCCCGCCUGGGGAGUACGGCCGCAAGGCUAAAACUCAAAGGAAUUGACGGGGCCCCGCACAAGCGGCGGAGCAUGCGGAUUAAUUCGAUGCAACGCGUAGAACCUUACCUGGGUUUGACAUGGAUCGGGAGUGCUCAGAGAUGGGUGUGCCUCUUUUGGGGUCGGUUCACAGGUGGUGCAUGGCUGUCGUCAGCUCGUGUCGUGAGAUGUUGGGUUAAGUCCCGCAACGAGCGCAACCCUUGUUCACUGUUGCCAGCACGUUAUGGUGGGGACUCAGUGGAGACCGCCGGGGUCAACUCGGAGGAAGGUGGGGAUGACGUCAAGUCAUCAUGCCCCUUAUGUCCAGGGCUUCACGCAUGCUACAAUGGCUGGUACAGAGAGUGGCGAGCCUGUGAGGGUGAGCGAAUCUCGGAAAGCCGGUCUCAGUUCGGAUUGGGGUCUGCAACUCGACCUCAUGAAGUCGGAGUCGCUAGUAAUCGCAGAUCAGCAACGCUGCGGUGAAUACGUUCCCGGGGCU